Molecule: ribosomal RNA, 1355 nt
Filed under: uncultured bacterium
Lineage: Bacteria
Description: bacterial SSU rRNA
Rfam family: Bacterial small subunit ribosomal RNA
Source: RNAcentral
AUUGAACGCUGGCGGCAGGCUUAACACAUGCAAGUCGAACGAUGAUUAUCUAGCUUGCUAGAUAUGAUUAGUGGCGGACGGGUGAGUAACAUUUAGGAAUCUGCCUAGUAGUGGGGGAUAGCUCGGGGAAACUCGAAUUAAUACCGCAUACGACCUACGGGUGAAAGGGGGCGCAAGCUCUUGCUAUUAGAUGAGCCUAAAUCAGAUUAGCUAGUUGGUGGGGUAAAGGCCCACCAAGGCGACGAUCUGUAACUGGUCUGAGAGGAUGAUCAGUCACACCGGAACUGAGACACGGUCCGGACUCCUACGGGAGGCAGCAGUGGGGAAUAUUGGACAAUGGGGGCAACCCUGAUCCAGCCAUGCCGCGUGUGUGAAGAAGGCCUUUUGGUUGUAAAGCACUUUAAGCAGGGAGGAGAGGCUAAUGGUUAAUACCCAUUAGAUUAGACGUUACCUGCAGAAUAAGCACCGGCUAACUCUGUGCCAGCAGCCGCGGUAAUACAGAGGGUGCGAGCGUUAAUCGGAAUUACUGGGCGUAAAGCGAGUGUAGGUGGCUCAUUAAGUCACAUGUGAAAUCCCCGGGCUUAACCUGGGAACUGCAUGUGAUACUGGUGGUGCUAGAAUAUGUGAGAGGGAAGUAGAAUUCCAGGUGUAGCGGUGAAAUGCGUAGAGAUCUGGAGGAAUACCGAUGGCGAAGGCAGCUUCCUGGCAUAAUAUUGACACUGAGAUUCGAAAGCGUGGGUAGCAAACAGGAUUAGAUACCCUGGUAGUCCACGCCGUAAACGAUGUCUACUAGCCGUUGGGGUCCUUGAGACUUUAGUGGCGCAGUUAACGCGAUAAGUAGACCGCCUGGGGAGUACGGCCGCAAGGUUAAAACUCAAAUGAAUUGACGGGGGCCCGCACAAGCGGUGGAGCAUGUGGUUUAAUUCGAUGCAACGCGAAGAACCUUACCUGGUCUUGACAUAGUGAGAAUCCUGCAGAGAUGCGGGAGUGCCUUCGGGAAUUCACAUACAGGUGCUGCAUGGCUGUCGUCAGCUCGUGUCGUGAGAUGUUGGGUUAAGUCCCGCAACGAGCGCAACCCUUUUCCUUAUUUGCCAGCGGGUUAAGCCGGGAACUUUAAGGAUACUGCCAGUGACAAACUGGAGGAGGGCGGGGACGACGUCAAGUCAUCAUGGCCCUUACGACCAGGGCUACACACGUGCUACAAUGGUAGGUACAGAGGGUUGCUACACAGCGAUGUGAUGCUAAUCUCAAAAAGCCUAUCGUAGUCCGGAUUGGAGUCUGCAACUCGACUCCAUGAAGUCGGAAUCGCUAGUAAUCGCAGAUCAGAAUGCUGCGGUGAAUACGUUCCCGGGCCU